GGUCCAGAGUUAAAUGAGACUAUCUUUUCAGUCUGGAAAUUCCUUCUUUUCUCCUAAAAAAAAAAAGUGGAGUAUUGGGUAGCUUGGAGAAGAAAGUGGCCAGUAUCCUUUUCUUUUUUGUCUGCUAUUUGAAAAAAAAAAAAGAUUUUUUUUCAGCCUUGUUCAUUAAUACUGCUGAUGUUAGUGAUCACAUCAUUUAAAACAGCAAAAUGUAUCUCACCUGCCUCCAUGCUGCCUUUUAAAUAUAAUUCUCUGGUGUUCUUUUAUUUGCUUAUUGGACUGUAAAAGUCUCUGUUUAUGUAUGUAUACUCUCAACUGUUUUUAUUUUAGUUUUCUGUCAUUGCUGCUGCUGUUUUCUACAGUUUCUCUAAUCAGUUACAGCUUUUUUGAGCCAAUGAGUGUGGAGAAUACCUUUCAAAAGAGAUAUCAGCUCUUUCAGCCAAAAAGCCUCAUCAAACUCAAGAUCCUGGAGACAUGACAAGCUGUCUGGCUAGGCUGAGGAUAUUGGACCUCAGGACAGGUGACCACGGAGUGAAGGAGGAUGUGAAAUCUUUGCCAUCAUCCUGCAGAGGAUGGAUGAGGGGGCUCCGAGCAGACAUAAAGUGCUUUGGAUCGGUGGGUUUCACUUGGAUUGAAACUUGGUGUGGCUCUGAUGCUUUUGUUCUUAGUAGAGGAAGAGUUACCAUAACACCACUGACCAUGCUAAUGAAGACCACAGACUUCACUCAUUUCAGAAGCCUGGAGCCCUGCCUCAUAAGAGAUGCGGAGAGAGAAAUGAGAGAUUAGAAUUGGG
Molecule: long non-coding RNA, 793 nt
Filed under: Phasianus colchicus (ring-necked pheasant)
Lineage: Eukaryota; Metazoa; Chordata; Aves; Galliformes; Phasianidae
Description: lncRNA (ENSPCLG00000014005.1)
Source: RNAcentral